This is a non-coding RNA of Phoenix dactylifera (date palm), 2194 nucleotides long. NCBI's taxonomy places the organism in Eukaryota, Viridiplantae, Streptophyta, Magnoliopsida, Arecales, Arecaceae. The record is from RefSeq and is a predicted model, not a curated record.
UCAGUACAAAUCGGGGGCUUUUCCUUCCUCUCUCUUCCCUCUUCUCACCAAAACCCUAACAAGUCUCUCCCUCGAUUAGCUUUCCCUUCUCGAAGCCAUGGAGGAAGACGAACCCCAGACACUAACCUCUUCCCCGGCCCCUGCGGUCGUCCCCCCAGCGGCGGCUCCGCCGCCCAUCGCCCCCAUCCCGCCGCCCCCCGCCGCCGUCCUCCGCGCCCGCGCCGGCGCCGCCCGCGCGGACUCCGACUCCGACCGCGAGGGCUCCUCUCCUCGCCCCUCCGCUGACGACUACGAGGUCUCCGAGGAGAGCCGCCUCGCCCGGGAGCGCCAGGAGAAGGCCGUCCAAGAGCUCCUGAUGAAGCGCCGAGCCUACGCUAUGGCCGUCCCCACCAACGACUCCGCCGUCCGCGCCCGCCUCCGCCGCCUCGGCGAGCCCGUCACUCUCUUCGGUGAGCGCGAGAUGGAGCGCCGCGACCGCCUACGCUCCAUCAUGGUCCGACUUGACGCCGAGGGCCAGCUCGAGCGCCUCCUAAAGGCCCACGACGACGAGCAGGCCGCCGCCGCCGCCGCCGCCCCGGCGGAGGAGGAGGGGCCUCAGCAGUACCCUUUCUACACCGAGGGAUCUCAGGAGCUUCUCCAGGCGAGGAUCGACAUUGCGAGGUACUCGCUUGCUAGGGCGGAGUCUAGGAUUGAGAGGGCGAGGCGUAGGAGGGAUGAUCCCGACGAGGACGAGGAUGCCGAGGCGGAGUUCGUUGUGAACCAGGCGGGUGGGUUUGCUCUUGAAUGCAGUGAGAUUGGUGACGACCGGCCUCUCUCCGGGUGUUCCUUCUCCCAUGAUGGAACAAUGCUUGCGAUAAGUUCAUGGAGUGGGGUUACUAAGAUAUGGAGCAUGCCAAAGGUAGAAAAAGUUGCAACCUUGAAGGGUCACACGGAGCGUGCAACUGAUGUGGCAUUCUCUCCUGUGGAUAACUGUUUAGCAACUGCAUCAGCUGAUAGAACUGCGAAAUUAUGGAACAUUGAUGGUUCUCUUAUUAGAUCAUUUGAUGGUCAUCUAGAUCGUCUUGCAAGGAUUGCCUUUCAUCCAUCUGGAAAAUACCUGGGAACUGCUAGCUUUGAUAAGACAUGGAGACUGUGGGACAUCAAUACCGGGACAGAGUUGCUACUUCAGGAGGGACAUAGCAGAAGUGUGUAUGGGAUUUGUUUCCAUCCUGAUGGAUCCUUAGUUGCCUCUUGUGGUCUUGAUGCUCUUGCUCGUGUAUGGGACCUUCGUACUGGUAGAAGCAUUCUUGCCUUUGAAGGCCAUGUUAAGCCAGUCCUUGGCAUUAGCUUCUCUCCUAAUGGUUAUCGUUUAGCCACUGGCAGUGAAGAUAAUACAUGCCGAAUAUGGGAUCUGAGGAAAAGAAAGAGUUUGUAUACUAUGCCAGCUCAUUCGCACCUUAUUUCACAAGUGAAGUUUGAACCCCAGGAAGGGUAUUUUCUGGCAACUGCAUCGUAUGACACCAAAGCAAUGGUAUGGUCAGCUCAAGAUUUUAAACCUGUCAAAACUUUGGCUGGACAUGAAGCUAAAGUUACCAGUUUGGAUAUUACAGGAGAUGGACAACAGAUAGCAACUGUUUCACACGAUCGGACUAUCAAGAUUUGGACCAGCCGAUGCAAAGAAAAGGAGAAGGCUAUGGACAUCGAUUAAAAUCAACUCAAUCUUGGGAUUCUUUUCUCAUUAUGUUUUGGCUGGAGCGCUCUUUGCUUCCCUGUUUGCUUGAGCUAUGGAUACAACUCUAAUCUGUUGCUGCAUGAGCAAAUCUUGGAGUAGCUCUUAGCUUUGUUUCUUAAUAUGUAUACUGGAACUGAUUACAUGCAAUGCAUAUGAAGGACCAGGUGGAUUCCUAGAUCUCAGCGAAGAAAUCAUAUGGUUGGACUCUGUUAGGUUUGUCAUGUGAUGGGUAGAUCCACGAUGCUUGACUUCUUUUAUGAGCUCCUGUUUUUGCCUUUUUUCCCCACAAAUUUCUGGAAAAAUGAGAAGAGAAACAGGAGGAUGCACGGGUGGAGAAGAGGGAUACGUUUGAUGAGGCUUUUGGGAACAUGAGGAGCGGGAUGUAUGGAAGCCUUGGGACAGCUUGAAUGCCAUUCUUUGGCUGUUGCUGUAGUAGUAGAUAUACAUAUUUUCAUGUAUUGUAAGAUUCAUUGUUUUCCUCUA